GAUGAAGAACGCAGCGAAAUGCGAUAAGUAAUGUGAAUUGCAGAAUUCAGUGAAUCAUCGAAUCUUUGAACGCACCUUGCGCCCUGUGGCCAUUCCGAAGGGCAUGCCUGUUUGAGUAUCAUGAACACCUCAACUCUUCAUGGUUUUCCAUGAUGAGCUUGGACUUUGGGGGUCUUGCUGGCCUGUGGGUCGGCUCCUCUCAAAUGAAUCAGCUUGCCGGUUUUUGGUGGGCAUCACAGGUGUGAUAACUAUCUACGCUUGUGGUUUUCCACCAGGGUAACCUUCAGCAGUGGAGGUUCACUGGAGCUUACAAAUGUCUCUCCUCUGUGAGGACAGCCCUUUGAAUGUUUGAUCUCAAAUCAGGUAGGACUACCCGCUGAACUUAAGCAUAUCAAUAACGGAGGA
RNAcentral lists this unclassified non-coding RNA (405 nucleotides) under soil metagenome. RNAcentral's name for it is "partial contains 5.8S ribosomal RNA, internal transcribed spacer 2, and large subunit ribosomal RNA". The stretch from base 1 to 121 matches the Rfam family "5.8S ribosomal RNA", at positions 35 to 154 of the family's 154-position model. The record is from RNAcentral.